AACGCACCUUGCGCUUCUUGGUAUUCCGAGAAGCAUGCCUGUUUGAGUGUCAUGAAAUUCUCAAUCUUUAUUGGCUUUUGACAAAAAGCUGAUGGAAGGUUUGGAUCAUUGAGAGUUGCUGAAUUUUAAACGAAUUCAGCUCUUUUCAAAUAUAUUAGCAAAAAUCAUGCCCGAUCAUUGAUGGUAUAAUAAUUAUCUAUACUAUUGAUAUUGGAUUUCUUUUUGCUUCUAACUGUCUUUCUUAAAAGACAAACAAAAUGACAACUUUGACCUCAAAUCAGGUAGGAUUACCCGCUGAACUUAA
RNAcentral lists this unclassified non-coding RNA (304 nucleotides) under uncultured fungus. Its description in RNAcentral is "sequence contains ITS2". The stretch from base 1 to 52 matches the Rfam family "5.8S ribosomal RNA", at positions 103 to 154 of the family's 154-position model. The record is from RNAcentral. Lineage: Eukaryota; Fungi.